Molecule: ribosomal RNA, 460 nt
Filed under: uncultured bacterium
Lineage: Bacteria
Description: partial 16S ribosomal RNA
Rfam family: Bacterial small subunit ribosomal RNA
Source: RNAcentral
CCUACGUGGGACAGCAGUGAGGAAUAUUGGUCAAUGGGCGGAAGCCUGAACCAGCCAAGUAGCGUGCAGGAUGACGGCCCUACGGGUUGUAAACUGCUUUUAUACGGGAAUAACGCGCCUUACGUGUAGGCCUUUGCAUGUACCGUAUGAAUAAGGACCGGCUAAUUCCGUUCAAGCAGCCUCGGUAAUACGGAAGGUCCGGGCGUUAUCCGGAUUUAUUGGGUUUAAAGGGAGCGUAGGCCGCAUGUCAAGCGUGCUGUGAAAUGUCCGGGCUCAACCCGGGCCUUGCAGCGCGACCUGGCGUGCUUGAGUCCGCGGAAAGCAGGCGGAAUUCGUCGUGUAGCGGUGAAAUGCUUAGAUAUGACGAAGAACCCCGAUUGCGAAGGCAGCUUGCUGCAGCGGAACUGACGCUGAUGCUCGAAAGCGCGGGUAUCGAACAGGAUUAGAUACCCGGGUAGUC